UUUCCGUAGGUGAACCUGCGGAAGGAUCAUUAUCGUAUAACCGAGGUGCGAGGGCUGUCGCUGACCCGAAAGGUCGUGCACGCCCGAGUGCCCUCACACACAUCCAUCUCACCCCUAUGUGCACCACCGCGUGGGUCCCCCUUUGGCUUGUUCGGAGGUGGGCUUACGUUUUCACACAAACUUUGUAUGCAGUGUAGAAUGUAUUUUUUGUUUUUGCGAUCACGCAAUCAAUACAACUUUCAACAACGGAUCUCUUGGCUCUC
Molecule: unclassified non-coding RNA, 263 nt
Filed under: plant metagenome
Description: partial contains small subunit ribosomal RNA, internal transcribed spacer 1, and 5.8S ribosomal RNA
Source: RNAcentral